This 87-nucleotide non-coding RNA is filed under the name Paenibacillus naphthalenovorans. The record is from RNAcentral. Lineage: Bacteria; Bacillati; Bacillota; Bacilli; Caryophanales; Paenibacillaceae.
GAGAGCCGGAUGCGCUGAGAGGUGCAAGUCCGGUUCGGGAAAGAGAGAUUGGGAAAUAGUUCGACUACGCCCUAUCUCUUAUUUCAC